RNAcentral lists this ribosomal RNA (450 nucleotides) under uncultured bacterium. RNAcentral's name for it is "partial 16S ribosomal RNA". It matches the Rfam family "Bacterial small subunit ribosomal RNA", at positions 354 to 796 of the family's 1533-position model. The record is from RNAcentral.
GUGGGGAAUAUUGGACAAUGGGCGAAAGCCUGAUCCAGCCAUGCCGCGUGUGUGAAGAAGGUCUUCGGAUUGUAAAGCACUUUAAGUUGGGAGGAAGGGCAUUAACCUAAUACGUUAGUGUUUUGACGUUACCGACAGAAUAAGCACCGGCUAACUCUGUGCCAGCAGCCGCGGUAAUACAGAGGGUGCAAGCGUUAAUCGGAAUUACUGGGCGUAAAGCGCGCGUAGGUGGUUCGUUAAGUUGGAUGUGAAAUCCCCGGGCUCAACCUGGGAACUGCAUCCAAAACUGGCGAGCUAGAGUAGGGCAGAGGGUGGUGGAAUUUCCUGUGUAGCGGUGAAAUGCGUAGAUAUAGGAAGGAACACCAGUGGCGAAGGCGACCACCUGGGCUCAUACUGACACUGAGGUGCGAAAGCGUGGGGAGCAAACAGGAUUAGAUACCCGAGUAGUCC